CGGUUACAUCUGGUUAAAGCACCAGUUCCCGUGCGAUCACCGAAGUUAAGCAACGUUGAGACUGUUCAGUACUUAGAUGGGUGACACAUUGAGAAUAUCAAGUGCUGUA
Acanthosepion pharaonis is the source of this 109-nucleotide non-coding RNA. The record is from the annotation of a GenBank genome assembly. NCBI's taxonomy places the organism in Eukaryota, Metazoa, Mollusca, Cephalopoda, Sepiida, Sepiidae.